GUCUACAGCCACACCACCCUGAACGUACCCGAUCUCGUCUGAUCUCGGAAGCUAAACAGGGUCGGGCCUGGUUAGUACUUGGAUGGGAGAAGUAGAGCAGCUUUGACU
This 108-nucleotide ribosomal RNA is filed under the name Ochotona princeps (American pika). Lineage: Eukaryota; Metazoa; Chordata; Mammalia; Lagomorpha; Ochotonidae. The record is from RNAcentral.